This 391-nucleotide unclassified non-coding RNA is filed under the name soil metagenome. RNAcentral's name for it is "partial contains 5.8S ribosomal RNA, internal transcribed spacer 2, and large subunit ribosomal RNA". The stretch from base 1 to 122 matches the Rfam family "5.8S ribosomal RNA", at positions 35 to 154 of the family's 154-position model. The record is from RNAcentral.
GAUGAAGAACGCAGCGAAAUGCGAUACUUGGUGUGAAUUGCAGAAUCCCGUGAACCAUCGAGUCUUUGAACGCAAGUUGCGCCCGAAGCCAUUAGGCCGAGGGCACGCCUGCCUGGGCGUCACACGUCGUUGCCCCCCCAUCUACUCCUUCGGGGUUGCGGGGGGCGGAUGAUGGCCUCCCGUGCGCCUCGUCGCGCGGUUGGCAUAAAUGCCAAGUCCUCGGCGACGCACGCCACGACAAUCGGUGGUUGCGAAACCUCGGUUGCCCGUCGUGUGCGGUCGUCGCGCAUCGAGGGCUCGAAAAAAUUGCCGGGCUCCGGCUCGGCUUUCAACGCGACCCCAGGUCAGGCGGGGUUACCCGCUGAAUUUAAGCAUAUCAAUAAGCGGAGGA